GCCUGGGUGGCUCAGUCGGUUGAGUGUCCGACUUCGGCUCAGGUCAUGAUCUCAUGGUUUGUGGGUUCGAGCCCCGCUUCGGGCU
This 85-nucleotide transfer RNA is filed under the name Felis catus (domestic cat). It matches the Rfam family "tRNA". From Rfam's summary of the family: Transfer RNA (tRNA) molecules are approximately 80 nucleotides in length. Their secondary structure includes four short double-helical elements and three loops (D, anti-codon, and T loops). Lineage: Eukaryota; Metazoa; Chordata; Mammalia; Carnivora; Felidae. The record is from Rfam by way of RNAcentral. RNAcentral also lists the same sequence under 3 other names.